UUUUUUUUUUUUUUUUCAAAAAAUUAUCACUAUAUCCCUAAAAAUUUUCAAAAUUUCAAGGGGUCCAUUGCCUCCCUUGGCCUCUAUGUGCAUCUGUCCCUGGGGCUUUUUUUCGAAGAUGAUGUUGUUUCCUAAUUCUUAUACUUUCAAGUUUCUUGUGAAUGGCUGGCGCUAAUUCCAUUCAUUGGCAUUGUCUUGGCAGGU
This 204-nucleotide unclassified non-coding RNA is filed under the name Hevea brasiliensis (rubber tree). Lineage: Eukaryota; Viridiplantae; Streptophyta; Magnoliopsida; Malpighiales; Euphorbiaceae. The record is from RNAcentral.